Schistosoma curassoni is the source of this 45-nucleotide non-coding RNA. Lineage: Eukaryota; Metazoa; Platyhelminthes; Trematoda; Strigeidida; Schistosomatidae. The record is from Rfam.
ACCCAGCUGACGAGUCCCAAAUAGGACGAAACGUGCGUCCUAGGU